AGUGAACGCUGGCGGUAGGCCUAACACAUGCAAGUCGAACGGCAGCACAGUAAGAGCUUGCUCUUACGGGUGGCGAGUGGCGGACGGGUGAGGAAUACAUCGGAAUCUACAUUUUCGUGGGGGAUAACGUAGGGAAACUUACGCUAAUACCGCAUACGACCUACGGGUGAAAGCAGGGGAUCUUCGGACCUUGCGCGAUUGAAUGAGCCGAUGUCGGAUUAGCUAGUUGGCGGGGUAAAGGCCCACCAAGGCGACGAUCCGUAGCUGGUCUGAGAGGAUGAUCAGCCACACUGGAACUGAGACACGGACCAGACUCCUACGGGACGCAGCAGUGGGGAAUAUUGGACAAUGGGCGCAAGCCUGAUCCAGCCAUACCGCGUGGGUGAAGAAGGCCUUCGGGUUGUAAAGCCCUUUUGUUGGGAGAGAAAAGCAGCAGGUUAAUACCCCGCUGUUCUGACGGUACCCAAUGAAUAAGCACCGGCUAACUUCGUG
RNAcentral lists this ribosomal RNA (492 nucleotides) under uncultured bacterium. Its description in RNAcentral is "partial 16S ribosomal RNA". It matches the Rfam family "Bacterial small subunit ribosomal RNA", at positions 29 to 507 of the family's 1533-position model. The record is from RNAcentral.